Molecule: signal recognition particle RNA, 96 nt
Filed under: Carnobacteriaceae bacterium zg-ZUI240
Lineage: Bacteria; Bacillati; Bacillota; Bacilli; Lactobacillales; Carnobacteriaceae
Description: signal recognition particle sRNA small type
Rfam family: Bacterial small signal recognition particle RNA
About the family: The signal recognition particle (SRP) is a universally conserved ribonucleoprotein involved in the co-translational targeting of proteins to membranes. Archaeal SRP consists of a 7S RNA and homologues of the eukaryotic SRP19 and SRP54 proteins.
Source: RNAcentral
AUUCAAGUGUACGGCAAUAGAAUUUCUAUGAACCGGGUCAGAUACGGAAGUAAGCAGCUCUAAGUAGAAAGUCUAUGUGCUGUACAUUUAGUGUUU